This 744-nucleotide long non-coding RNA is filed under the name Rattus norvegicus (Norway rat). RNAcentral describes it as "long non-coding RNA NONRATT014535". Lineage: Eukaryota; Metazoa; Chordata; Mammalia; Rodentia; Muridae. The record is from RNAcentral.
UCUCUGCUUCUGCUUACUCACUUGUGUUUUUUUAUUGUCAUCUUUUACUCUGGUUGUGUUGCAGGAGGCGUUCUGGAUGGAUGGCAGCUGGAAGCCCUUCGCCAUAGCCCGCUCUUCUUCAACACUUAAGCAUUUACCUGGGCAUUAAGUAAUGAAAAUUUUGAAACCAUAUAUGAGGAAUACAUCCAUCUUGUACUACCUGUGUUUCCUUCUCAACAGUCACUUCUUAACUGAGGCUGGCAUCCAUGUCUUCAUUUUGGGCUGUGUCAGUGUAGGUCUCCCUAAAACAGAGGCCAACUGGAUAGAUGUAAGAUACGAUCUGGAGAAAAUUGAAAGUCUUAUUCAAAAAACAUAAAGAAAGAGAAAUGAAGAGGUGAAAGUCCUACGGUUCCUUUCAAAGUCCAAUCCCAGUGACUAUUGCCCUCGAGAUGCUCACCAUUUCCAUCCUGGAACCAAGACUUUCAGGGCAAUGAACACACGCACUGUAGCUGUGUAGGAGUGUCCACUCACUGGAUAUAACAAAUGCUCAUAGAGUGGGAAGCAUGCGAACCGUGAGGCGAACUGGAAAUGGGCAGAAGAGACCUCAGACAUUCUGUUGUGCUGUCUUUCUCUGUAACACAACUGCUCAAAAUGUUAUUUCUUUAAAAGCUAAUCUUAAAAAAGGUUGCAUUCUCUAUAAUUCCACUCUUUCACAUUCUUGAAAUGUUAAAGGUCUAGGAUUGGACAAGGGGGCGAAAACUGGUA